RNAcentral lists this ribosomal RNA (731 nucleotides) under Hexamatia seekhaow. RNAcentral describes it as "partial large subunit ribosomal RNA". The stretch from base 360 to 731 matches the Rfam family "Eukaryotic large subunit ribosomal RNA", at positions 1 to 876 of the family's 3401-position model. The record is from RNAcentral. Lineage: Eukaryota; Metazoa; Arthropoda; Arachnida; Araneae; Hahniidae.
GUGGGCCCUCGAAAUCCUGUGGCGAGAGGAUUCAAUCUGGCCGUGCUGUAAGGGGCAAAGAGAGUCUGAACUCGGGACGGCCUCGGCCACUGUCGCGGGCUGAUUCCGGGGACGUUCUUACCCCUCUCGGCGUGUGUCGGAGGCAUUUCUUCCUCGCCCGAAGGACGCCGUAGCAGACUGGGCUCUAAAAGACGGCUUUAUGGACGAAUUUCGGCAGGUAGCCGAUGGCGUGCGUCACGCUCGCGGCCGGUGUUUGGCCAGUUUGUCCAGUGGCUCGUUUCCCGGUCGUGGUUAUGUAGUCCAUUGUGGACUUUAACGUCUCCUCCCACGGAAGCAGGUUAAGCACUGAAGGAGGAACCCGUCGUAAGGACGCACCGGACAAUCGGUGGUUUAGGCGAUGGUAGGUAACUCCGUUGGCGGUGUAGGGCCUGUUGGAGGUUGACGGCUCACGGCGAGUAGGUCGGUCACCCACCCGACCCGUCUUGAAACACGGACCAAGGAGUCUAACAUGUGCGCGAGUCAAUGGGUCUUGAAUAAGCCCAGAGGCGCAAUGAAAGCAAAAGCCUUCCGUGCGUUGGCUGAGCCGUGAUCCCCUGUAAUGGGGGCGCAGCGGCGGCCCGUCCCAUCCGGUACGUCCGGUGGGGCGGAGCGUGAGCGUACACGUUGGGACCCGAAAGAUGGUGAGCUAUGCCCGGGCAGGAUGAAGCCAGAGGAAACUCUGGUGGAGGUCC